RNAcentral lists this ribosomal RNA (412 nucleotides) under uncultured bacterium. RNAcentral's name for it is "bacterial SSU rRNA". It matches the Rfam family "Bacterial small subunit ribosomal RNA", at positions 28 to 423 of the family's 1533-position model. The record is from RNAcentral.
AACGAACGCUGGCGGCGUGCCUAACACAUGCAAGUCGAGCGAGAAAGGGGGAGCAAUCCCCUGAGUAGAGCGGCGAACGGGUGAGUAACGCGUGGGCAAUCUGCCCUCCAGCCCGGGAUAACACCUCGAAAGGGGUGCUAAUACCGGAUGACAUCAGCCCGGCGCAUGCCGGGCUGAUCAAAGGCGGCCUCUGCAUGCAAGCUGUCACUGGGGGAUGAGCCUGCGUCCGAUUAGCUAGUUGGCGGGGUAACGGCCCACCAAGGCGACGAUCGGUAGCCGGCCUGAGAGGGUGACCGGCCACACUGGGACUGAGAUACGGCCCAGACUCCUACGGGAGCAGCAGUGGGGAAUAUUGCGCAAUGGGCGAAAGCCUGACGCAGCGACGCCGUGUGGGGGAUGACGGCCUUCGGUU